UACGGAGGAUGCGAGCGUUAUCCGGAUUUAUUGGGUUUAAAGGGUGCGUAGGUUGUUUUUUAAGUCAGCGGUGAAAGUUUGUGGCUCAACCAUAAAAUUGCCGUUGAAACUGGAAGACUUGAGUGUGUUUGAGGUAGGCGGAAUGCGUGGUGUAGCGGUGAAAUGCGUAGAUAUUAGGAGGAACACCAGUGGCGAAGGCGACUUUCUGGACAGUAACUGACGUUGAGGCACGAAAGUGUGGGGAGCAAACAGG
This 253-nucleotide ribosomal RNA is filed under the name uncultured Parabacteroides sp. Its description in RNAcentral is "partial 16S ribosomal RNA". It matches the Rfam family "Bacterial small subunit ribosomal RNA", at positions 524 to 776 of the family's 1533-position model. Lineage: Bacteria; Pseudomonadati; Bacteroidota; Bacteroidia; Bacteroidales; Tannerellaceae. The record is from RNAcentral.